This 253-nucleotide ribosomal RNA is filed under the name uncultured bacterium. RNAcentral's name for it is "partial 16S ribosomal RNA". It matches the Rfam family "Bacterial small subunit ribosomal RNA", at positions 524 to 776 of the family's 1533-position model. The record is from RNAcentral.
UACGUAGGGACCGAGCGUUGUCCGGAAUCAUUGGGCGUAAAGAGCGUGUAGGCGGCUUGUUAAGUCUUGCGUGAAAUCUCGGGGCUCAACCCCGAGCGGUCGUGAGAAACUGGCAGGCUAGAGUGCGGGAGAGGAGAGUGGAAUUCCUGGUGUAGCGGUGAAAUGCGCAGAUAUCAGGAGGAACACCGAUGGCGAAGGCAGGUCACUGGGCCGCAACUGACGCUGAGGAGCGAAAGCAUGGGGAGCGAACAGG